GUUUGAUCAUGGCUCAGAUUGAACGCUGGCGGCAGGCCUAACACAUGCAAGUCGAACGGUAACAGGAUGUGCUUGCACAUCGCUGACGAGUGGCGGACGGGUGAGUAAUGCUUGGGAACUUGCCUUUGCGAGGGGGAUAACAGUUGGAAACGACUGCUAAUACCGCAUAAUGUCUUCGGACCAAACGGGGCUUCGGCUCCGGCGCAAAGAGAGGCCCAAGUGAGAUUAGCUAGUUGGUAAGGUAACGGCUUACCAAGGCGACGAUCUCUAGCUGUUCUGAGAGGAAGAUCAGCCACACUGGGACUGAGACACGGCCCAGACUCC
Molecule: ribosomal RNA, 324 nt
Filed under: Symbiodinium sp. Mp
Lineage: Eukaryota; Dinophyceae; Suessiales; Symbiodiniaceae
Description: partial Bacterial small subunit ribosomal RNA
Rfam family: Bacterial small subunit ribosomal RNA
Source: RNAcentral